UGAUUUUGCCCGUUUAAACAUCAAAUAAAAUUUGAUUUUGUUCAUUGUGAAAUUGACAUUGAUUAAAUGAAGGUGGAGGAUGAAUUGUGAUAUUUGGGGAUGGGAUUGAAAUUUGAAGGUGGGAUGAUGAAGAAACUAUAUUGUUUGGGGUGGGGUGAUGAAGAAGAUUUGAGGUUGGGAUUGGAGUUUCGGGGUGGGGGUGAUGAAGAAGAUGAUGAUUUGGGGGUUGGGGUGAUGAAAAAGACGAUUGUUUGGGGGUAGGGAUGCUGGGGGUUGGGGGAGGAGUAUUUUAAUUUUUUUAAUUUUUUUUUGCAUUAAUUUUUAAUUUAAAUGAGCCAAUUUUUAUUUAAAUAAUUAUGUAUUUUCCACAUCAGGAGUAAAAAGUAUCAUUUUUUUAUAGUUAAGGUGUGUAAUAAGUCACUUAUAUAGUUUAGGUGUGAAUUCAACUUUUCGACUAUAGCUUGGGGUGAAAACGAUGCCUUUUCCCUUAAUGUUUUUAGCCGUUUACUUUUGUUAUUUAAUAGGCUGGAUGCGCCUAAAAUAAGUGUAACAUACGCACCUUAAAAUGGGGGUUGCGGGGAGGUAAUAAUAUCACUUUUAUAUAGUUAAGAUGUGUAAUAGGUCACUUAUAUAGUUUAGGUGUGGCUUCAACUUUUCUUGUAUAGUAUGGGGUGGAAAUGAUGUCUUUUCCCUUAUAUGAUAUUAUAGUAUCAAAUAAAAUCAUAACAAUCAACAAAUAUAAAUAUGUAUAUAUUAUUAGCAUAUAAAGCAUCAUAAACUCAAAGUUGAUUUUUCAUAUUAUUGUGAAUUGUUCUAUUAAGAUAACAAAGGAUGAAACUAGAAAAAUAAGGGGUCGUUUGGUUUGAAAAAUCUCGGGAUAAUUUUGAAAAUGGUUAUCCCGGGAUAAGUAAUUAUCCCGAGAUAAAAUUAAAGAACACAUUUUCCUUUGUUUGGUUGGAGGGAUUAAUCCAACCCGGAAUAACUUAUCCCAUCAUUUUCUCCUUAGUCCCAGGAUAACUUAUCCCAUAUACAUGGUGGGAUAAGUUAUCCCGGGAUAACUAUUUUCAAACCAAACGACACCUAAGAGAACAAGAGAAAAGGUUCAAGUGGUGUCAUGUAUUUUACACUUAAUGUGAAGAAAACUCUUUUCUUAUUUCUUAAAACUCCGUACCUGGUCAAAUGAAUUAUAUAAGGUACACUGCAAUGGAUUAUACAUUGUCAGGUACACUGCAAUGGAUUAUACAAGAAGAUUUACUCAAUGAGAAAUUCUCAAAGCAG
This 1278-nucleotide long non-coding RNA is filed under the name Capsicum annuum. RNAcentral's name for it is "long non-coding RNA (CANN_LNC002910)". Lineage: Eukaryota; Viridiplantae; Streptophyta; Magnoliopsida; Solanales; Solanaceae. The record is from RNAcentral.